This 6761-nucleotide long non-coding RNA is filed under the name Lactuca sativa (garden lettuce). RNAcentral describes it as "long non-coding RNA (LSAT_LNC001944)". Lineage: Eukaryota; Viridiplantae; Streptophyta; Magnoliopsida; Asterales; Asteraceae. The record is from RNAcentral.
UCUCUCUCAAGUCAUCCAAUUGUUCAAGGGUUUCAGGCAUCACACUUGGGGUGCAAAGUUCUUAAAGGCAAAAAACUACAAGCUACAACAACAGGUAAUUCUAUAACUCAUUUUUAUGUUGAUUAUGUCAAUUGUAUGGUAGUUUUGGGCUUUAUGCUUUGGAAACAAUAUUGCAUGUAUAAUUAGGGAAAACAUAGAUCCAAAGCAUUUAGGGUUGUAUGUGCACCAUAGGAUGUUGUUGUAUACAAAACCCAACAAGUAUCUCACCAGUACUUUUAAGGAGAUACUACCCGAUAUUCAUCUCAAUUAAUUUACGUUUAUUUUGUAAGACCUGAAUCAUCACAUCUUAUCAGUUAUGUUCUUAACACUUAUUUCAAGCAAUAUCAAAUAUCUCACACAUAAACAUAUAUUUAAUACUUUAAUUAAUACUUGUAUUAAAAUCAUGUUCAUGAAAGGGAUUAUGCACUCACUUGUUAAAGUGAUGACUCGAAAUUCGGGCAGUGCUUCGCUUCUAACAAUUUUCUUUUACUUCGACAAAACCUAGUAUCAUUAUUACUAUAUUUUUGUAUAAUAUUUAUUGCGACUAAUUAUUAGUCUAGAUUCAUCAUUAACUCAAAGUUUACUUCAUGAUCUAUCAAGUAAGGAACAAUCACGUAGGAUCAUAUCGGAAGUAGGGUUCGUUUGGUAUACGAAGUAUACUGUUUGGAAAUCCCACUUUAAACACCUCACUAAAUCAUAGCUUAGACAUUAUCCCCAUAAGUUGAUCAAUCAGUACAGUGACUUGGAAUCACUGAUAAAUCUUUUUGAUAGGUUCAUAAUAACGAUAAUGAACUUAAACAUAAGUUGUACUUAAAGUAGGGUAAUCAUAACUCACUUACAAGGGGUUUUAGCAAGGAACCGGGCUCUGCACGGGUAGAACUUUUGAGCCAAAAGCUCUUCUUCUCGAGGCCUAUGGUGCUCUGGGACUCACUACUAACACCUAGGAGGUGCUAGGGAAAAUCCUUGAGGAUUUGUGGAGGUUUGAGAUAGAAUGGGUUAGAAUGGUGUGAGAAAUGGAGUGAUUUGCACCUCUAUUUAUAGGUUGUGAAUUGGUGCGACAUGGAGUGUUACUGGAUAAACACGAAGUGUUGAAGUGCCAGGUUUUGCGAUUGCGUGCGAAGCCUUGGGGAAGAAGGUGUGGAUGUGAUGGUGCCAUGUGUUACCUUCGGAACUUAAUAGAAAAGUUAAUUAUCUUCUAAAAUCUGUACCUUUCGCAUGUGAGCUCCAUUUUUGACGUUCUUUAUAUCCAUGCAUAGGUAGCGAUGUGACCUACAACUUUCAUUUAGACUCUAUCGACUAAUUUUGACUAUAUUUUUAAAUUUAUGUUUUAACAGGUUUAGACAUGUAAAGUCCGUUGAAAAUUCAUAAAUUUGUCAUCCAACAUCCGUUUUCGACUAUCUUUAUAUCUUUGAGCUCCUAUUAACGAGAUCUUAAAUUCUCAUUUAGGUUGUGUUGGCUAAAAAUCGAUCCAUCUAAAAUCCGAUUUCCGGGUUGUAUACUACAAUGCAAAAUCUUAGAAAAAUCAUAAUUCCUCUAACGAAGUCAAAUUUGGACGUUCUUUAUAUGCACGCUCUCGAUUUAACAUGUACUAUGACUUUUGUUUAGAUUGCUAAGGCUAAAAAUUAUUUCGUCAAAAAUUUACUUAUUACGUUACAUAGAGCCGUACCGGUUUCAUCGUAAAACUUCGAUGGGAUAUAACUUCUUCGUUAUAAGUCGGAUUUUAGCGUUCUUUACAUGUACAAAAUCCUUGUGACGUAUAUUAUACUUUGGUUAAGACUAUUUAUUCUAAAGAAUCUUCUAUCUAAAAGUUAUUUUUUACGCUUAUUGUCUCUAAAUUGAGUAGCCCGAAUCUGCAGACGUUACAGGAAGCGAUUGGACGAAGAUCUCGUUGUGGCCAAUAGUCCCUUUCGGGAACACCAGAUAUUAGGUUAAUAGGCACUUAGGCUACUCAGGUUGAGUAUCAGUUGUCGAGGGAUUGGUUAGCUCUUUAUAUUAACUAUUAUUUGAAAUAGAGGAAGAGUGGUUGUUGAUAUGUCAAUCAACUUCAGAGUUUGGUAUGUGUAUUUUCGCAUGGGCUGUGUUCAGUAGAUUGUCAAAUCAUUUGAUUAGUUUUCAGUCCAUUUUCACUCAUUGGUUAUUUCGUUCAUUGUUAACAACUGAGGUUAUUCGAAGGUUUCGAGUUAUGCUAAGUUGAAAAGGCAGCCGGUGCAUUGAAUGUUCGUUAAGUUUUGUCAAAUGCAUAUCUAAGUUUCUAAGUAAAUUCACCUUUGGUUGAUCGAUUGUGGAUUUUGUAUUAUAGUAGGCACAAGUUUAGUACUUGUCCUUGGAUAUUAAAAGUUUGGAUGUCGGAGUGUCAUUGCUCAAUUUUCCUGGUGUAACAUUGGGUCUACAUUAAGUCCAGUUUGAGAUGUCAUGUAUUCGGGGUGGGCAUUUAAGGACUAUCCGAUCAGGUUCUGGUAACACUUUGCUGAUUUUGGAAUCUUACCCUGAGUUUGGAUAGUUAUGCAUUGGUGGGAUUUGUUCAAGGUUGAGACCUUGUUUCGGUUAUCAGGAUAAUGAUUAUGUUAACAGUUUAAGUGAAUUAAUUAGUUGGAUCCAUUCAUAUUUCACCCUUUAGAUAAGGUUAUGGUGAAAAGGGAAUGCAGUCGACGAGAGGAGAGUUUUGUAUUCACAUGAGGAAUGCGGAAUCUCAAUAGUUCAACCAAUUUUGUCUGGCUCUUGGGCUAAGUUCUUGUCUGAUUUAUUUAUUUCUAGGUGGAACGGUCGUUCCACAAUUUUUAGGUCUCGUCCAAUCAUUUUUUGUAUGAUGUUUUGUCGGUAACAGUUUAGACUUGUUGGAUUAGUGUCUAAGUCCAUAACUAUUUUGGUAUGUACUUGACCCGAUGGUGCAUGGUCCUUUUGGGUUGCCUUCACCAAAUCAACUUGAUAGGAUGAACUAUGGAGAGAGAGGAUUAAUUAUGAUUUAUUAAUAUAUUAUGAGAAUAAUAUAUUAAAGGAGAAAUCAUAUUGUUUAAUUAAUAUUAGUCAAGAAUUAAUAAGAAUUAAGUUUGUGGCAAAAAGACAUUAAUUAAACUUAAGGGACUAGAACUGUCAAUUGAAUGAUAGUUGAAUAUUGGGCUAAUGGACUCCAUAUUAGAGGGGUGGACGAAUUCUAUGGGGAAACCCAUUAGAAAUCGUCCUAGGCCUCUAAGGAAGGAGUCCAUGGGUUGCUUAGGGCUUAAGCAUCCAAAUUAGGGUUUCCUUGUUAGAUAACCCUAAUAGCCUCACUAUUUAAAGGACCCUUGAGACUCAAAAACGUGGUGAACUGGUUCCUUAGGGUUUCCACACGUUUNUUUGGGCAGCUCUACUCUCCUUAUUCUUCAUCCUCUUACUCUUGGUGUUUGUGAACCAUUAGAGGACUGACAUUUGUGACUCUAAGCUUUCUAAAGUCAUUACAAGGAGGAUUUGAGAUUGUUAUUGCUACAUAACAAUCAAGGUAAGAUCUAAACCCCAUUCAUAAGUUAAUUUGAUUAAUUGUAUGCUAGAUCUAGGGUUUAAAGUCAUGGAUGAAUUGCAUGUACAAUAGAGAAACCUAGAUCCAAGCAUUAGGGUUUGUAUGAGCACAUAGGAUGUUCUUAUGGCCAAAACCCAUCAGUGGUAUCAGAGACUUGAUUGGUUUCUAUUGUAUUGAUGCAUAUUUGAUCGAAAUCAUCACUGAAAAUCGAAUUUUUUGGCUUCUGAGUGUUUGACUCGCCGAGUCACUUGGUGCACUCGCCGAGUCAGAGGGUCUGACAGCUCAUAUUUGUGAUUUUCUUCCUGUUUUGGCUUUGGAUAAUUACCAUAAACGUGUUUUUGUUAUAAAAUCCGAAUUUUAUCAAUAUUUGGUGAUUAUCCUUACCAAAAUAGAAGAUAAUUGUCAAAAUUUAGAUAAUCAUUUGUUUUAUUAGAUAAAGUUUGAUUAUUUGUAAUUUAGAUUUGAAUUAUCUUGUGAAAAAGUUUCAAUUUUCCCCCUUUAGGUUUUAUAGUUUAAAUUUGAACUUAAAAGUUUUGUUUUUGAAAUUUAAAUAAGUUAAACCCUAAUGUUUUGAAAUGUUUCAAAACUUGCCCUCAAGUUUUGGAAUUUAAAAGUUGAUUAAAAGUUUAAUUUAGAAAUGUUAAAUUCUAAAACCCUAGUAUUGUUUUGAAAAGUUCAAAUCACACCCUUAUGGUUUUAUUAAUUAAUUAAAGUGUAUAAUUAAAAGAGGUUUAAUAAAUCCAUAAAGUUUUGGUUCACAAUUUAAUUGAAUUAAAAGUAUAAUUGUUAAAUUUGACCACCUAGUAUUUUAAAAGUGUAAAAUACACCCUAUACUAUAUAUAACAUUAAAAGUCUAACAUUAUAUAUAUGUAUGAGUAAAAGUCAGUCUUACCGUUAGUAGGCCUCAUUCACGAAGCUGGUCUAUAAGGGGUGUUUAAGGAAAUUGCCUAUAAAAUGGCGAUUGAAUGGGUAUCCACUCUUACCCACCGCACUCUUGACUAGUGGAGGGUCGUUAGCCGAACGGGUAGGAUAGGACAGAAACCUUCCAUUAUAAGUAUAAUGAAGUACAAAAGUAACUAAAUGUUUUACAAAUUCCCAAUCUUAGUUACUUUAUGCAAAAGUGAAUUGAUGCAAUUCCAUGAAAUUACACUUUGUGCCCUUGUAGGACGUUAGUAGAGCUUGUGUGGUUAAUCGACACACUAAAUGGUUCUAAGCAAAUGUAGCAAAGGGUGACUCAAUGUUUGUCAUAGUUCGGUGGAGCAUGUGUGGUUAACCGGCACAUCGAAUAGGUGAUUGUAACAUGUGAGGGCACCAUGUAAGUUUGCAUGGUUAUUCACACCCGCUUUGUGAUCCUCGGUAUCCCAGUCACAAACUAGAGGGGCAUAUCGAGAUUUAAACAUGCCAUUGAAAUGUUCAAUGAAUCUCAAAGGAUCUAGGAGUUUUCAUAGAUUUAAAACUUAAAUUUCUUUUUCGUUUUUCAUGGUGGAAAUUAGUGAAUCGUCAUUCACUUACCUUCAAAUAUUCUGCAACUAGAUUACGGCAUCCCUUUUCUAGGUUGUAGCGUAUUGUGUUGGGUCCUAGCCUUAAUAUCUCAUUUGGGUGAUUUAUUAAGGACUCAAUCAAUCAACUAACUUAAAUUUGUUUUCUCCCAUUUUGUAGAUGUCAAAGUAUGACAACUAUGUUAUUCCUAAAUCCCAUGGAACAAGCUUUCCACAUGAAGAUGAUAUUCCACGAUUCGAUCGAGGAACAAGAGAUCAUGCUUCACUUCCUUCACCUCCUCCAAUUAUUCUCCCUAACCCACAAGUUCGAAGGCUUGAAAAGUUCAAUCUCACUCAACCCCAUUUGGCAAGUAAACAUGAAGAAGGAAAGUCGGUGUGUGCACACGUCCUAGAGAUGAAGUCACACAUUGAUAGGUUAAGAAUGUUGGGAUCCAUUGUCUGUGAGGAGCUGGCUAUUGACUGGGUUCUUCAGUCGCUUCCUAACUCAUAUAGUGAGCUCGUAAGAGAGUACUAUAUGAUGAACCACGACGUGACCCUUAUAGAUCUCACCUACAUGCUUAUUGAUGCUGAAUCAGCAAUGAUUUGGCGCAAUGGAAAAGCAAAGUUGAUUGGUGAAUCUGCCUUCCAGACCUCUAUGGAUAUAGUCAACGGAAACGAAAGGCAUGCCAUGAUCAAAAAGUUUGAUCAUGGCUUCAGCAUCCUAGCCCUCACUAUGAAGGUGAAGUACGUCGAGCUUGUGACUCUUAACAAUACAAUAUGACGGUCUUUGCCGUUGACGACCUUUCGAUCUUCUCUGGUUCUCACUCUUAUAUCAUAUCAGCAACGUCAGGUUCCACAUUGUGCCGAACCAUUUCUUGUCGAUCGCGGAUCUGGAGAAGCUUCCGGUGGGGACUGCUCCGCCGACAUUGGAACGAGGCAAACCGCUGCUUAUCACAACCUCUGGUGCCGGUGGAGGUUUGACCUCGGCGCCGAUGAGGAUGAACUAUGUGAGGAUUAAGGUGCCGGACGUCAUCCGCAACGUCAAGAUCGUGGUGCACAGUGUGUACUUGCCAUUUCCACAUAUUAAUCCUGUGGCUGCGGCUUACGACAGUAUCCUAGGAGGCUCAGAAGUCUCAGGAGGAGAUCAGACGAUGGAAGGAACGUGUGCUGCUCUGGAUGGGCAUGAGGUUGUGGUGAGUCCCCGAUGCCUCAGGUCAAGCCAAUGGUGGAGAUCGAAGAUCACCAUGGCCUGUAAUUAAUCCUGAAAGUGUUGCUUUGGUGACACGUCUCCGUUUAUUUGUUGUCUUUUUUGUGGUCAGUCAAAGACAGAAGAAAGGGGCCGAGGAAGGGGAAGCCCUUCGAGUACCAAUCCGGUCCAUGUGCUGGCUUGGCAUGGAAGGCUACCCGAAAAGUCUUUUUCGCGGCUUGUUUUAAGCUCAAUGCUUAGGGCAGAGUUAUGGCUUUACCCCUUCUUAAUCUAGCAUUGCUACUCUUCUUUGGGAACAGACCGACAGCCCACCACUGGAACUCGCUUUGCUCUCGCUCGGCUCACUCCCGCCUGUCUUCUUCCAACCAUAGUUCACUUUAAGAAAGAUCCUUCAUUUCACUACAGUUGGAACCUCACUGACCUUCUCGGGCAGUUACUCUCAGCUUGGGUUGGGUCUCCGCCAGCUUGACCUUUCCCUUCCCUCCCAAAGUCCGUCGGGCCGACGACAACCCGCGGCAAUCAUACCAGGACUAACGAGAUCUNA